This is a long non-coding RNA of Mercenaria mercenaria, 1294 nucleotides long. RefSeq lists it as uncharacterized. The transcript is spliced from 4 exons. The record is from RefSeq and is a predicted model, not a curated record. Lineage: Eukaryota; Metazoa; Mollusca; Bivalvia; Venerida; Veneridae.
GCCAUUUUAAGAAAUGAGCCGUGCCACGAGAAAACCAGCAUAAGGAAAUGAGCCCCGCCAUGAGAAAACCAACAUAGUGGGUUUGCGACCAGCGUGGAUCCAGACCAGCCUGCGCAUCCUGCUCAAGUUCUUUAUGUAGACUAAUUUGAACCUUUCAGAUGCUGUCAGCGAAUAGGACUUGCAUCGCCGUAAAAUGGACUGGCUGGCCUGCUGACCGAGGGAGAAGACGGACUGGCUGGCCUGCUGACCGAGGGAGAAGACGGACUGGCUGGCCUGCUGACCGAGGGAGAAGACGGACUGGCUGGCCUGCUGACCGAGGGAGAAGACGGACUGGCUGGCCUGCUGACCGAGGGAGAAGACGGACUGGCUGGCCUGCUGACCGACUGGUGGAGGAGAUAAUAAUAGCACCCUGCUGGCACACUGAUGAUGGCGUCAGCGAGUAGGACUUUCAUCGCCGUAAAAAGGACUUAGGACUUCAACCGAGGGAAAGGACCGACUGGCUGACGGACUGGUGGAGAGACUGGUGGAGCUGACGGACUGGUGGAGCUGACAGACUGGUGGAGGAGAUAAUAAUAACAUGACACCUGCUGACCCACUGAUGGACAAACAACAAGUAUCCCUGCUCCCAUCAGAUCACUUCCUCCAGAUGCCUCCUCCAACAUCCUGGGAAUCAACCAAUCACAGCACAGCAAGCAGUGGGCAACAAGUGUACAUGUGUCAUAUGAAAUAUUACAAGAUAAACUACACAAAGUGCGAAUAGAUCGGGCCAUAAGUGAAGGUGUACCGGGACAAACAACAAGUAUCCCUGCUCCCAUCAGAACACUUCCUCCAGAUGCCUCCUCCAACAUCCUGGGGAUCAACCAAUCACAGCACAGCAAGCAGUGGGCAACAAGUGUACAUGUGUCAUAUGAAAUAUUACAAGAUAAACUACACAAAGUGUGGAUAGAUCGGGCCAGAAGUGAAGGUGUACCGGGUACGCGUGCGCAUUGUUUUCGAACUUAUUCAUUUAUUUGAAAUUACUUGAAAUAAAAAUAAACACACAUUGCCUCCUCUAUAUGUUUAAUAAUUACCUUGCAAACAAUUCUAUCAUAACAACAAAUGUAACAAAAUAAAGUGAUCAUAAGUUAAAUAAUUAAUAACUUUUUAUGUCAAAAAUAAGUAACCUCCUCAACGGGACCGGGUACGCCUGAGACUCCUGCCCAGCUGAUGAAGGUUAAUGAACUUAACUGCCUUGCCAACAAUUCUGAACAUACCCAACAACAAAAAUUAAAUAUGACAAAAAUAAAGUUAUCCG